UGUAUUAAAGAAUUAAAUGGAUGAAAUAUGAAAUUUUAUUAAAAGAAAAAGGGGUGAAAAGAACAAAGUUUUGUCCAUCUUUGUUCAUCAUAGCCGAAAGUUAGAGAAGAGAAAGGAGAGGAGAAAGCUCUUGAAUGUUUGGUCACUUGGGGAAGAAAAUUGAAGGAAAUCCCCAACCAUAGUGGGCUUGGAGCUGUGAGGGAAUUCGGAGUGGCCACCCGUUCUGAAAGUUUGGUUUUCUUCUGGUGAACUGGACAUCCUAUUAUUUACGUUGAGGUUUGGGUUUUUAAAUGUAAUAAGGCCGCUUAAUUA
This is a long non-coding RNA of Gossypium arboreum, 312 nucleotides long. RefSeq lists it as uncharacterized. The record is from RefSeq and is a predicted model, not a curated record. The transcript is spliced from 2 exons. Lineage: Eukaryota; Viridiplantae; Streptophyta; Magnoliopsida; Malvales; Malvaceae.